AGAUUGAACGCUGGCGGCAGGCCUAACACAUGCAAUUCGAGCGGUAGAGAGGAGCUUGCUCCUCUUGAGAGCGGCGGACGGGUGAGUAAUGCCUAGGAAUCUGCCUGGUAGUGGGGGAUAACGUUCGGAAACGGACGCUAAUACCGCAUACGUCCUACGGGAGAAAGCAGGGGACCUUCGGGCCUUGCGCUAUCAGAUGAGCCUAGGUCGGAUUAGCUAGUUGGUGAGGUAAUGGCUCACCAAGGCGACGAUCCGUAACUGGUCUGAGAGGAUGAUCAGUCACACUGGAACUGAGACACGGUCCAGACUCCUACGGGAGGCAGCAGUGGGGAAUAUUGGACAAUGGGCGAAAGCCUGAUCCAGCCAUGCCGCGUGUGUGAAGAAGGUCUUCGGAUUGUAAAGCACUUUAAGUUGGGAGGAAGGGCAGUAAAUUAAUACUUUGCUGUUUUGACGUUACCGACAGAAUAAGCACCGGCUAACUCUGUGCCAGCAGCCGCGGUAAUACAGAGGGUGCAAGCGUUAAUCGGAAUUACUGGGCGUAAAGCGCGCGUAGGUGGUUUGUUAAGUUGGAUGUGAAAUCCCCGGGCUCAACCUGGGAACUGCAUUCAAAACUGACUGACUAGAGUAUGGUAGAGGGUGGUGGAAUUUCCUGUGUAGCGGUGAAAUGCGUAGAUAUAGGAAGGAACACCAGUGGCGAAGGCGACCACCUGGACUAAUACUGACACUGAGGUGCGAAAGCGCGGGGAGCAAACAGGAUUAGAUACCCUGGUAGUCCACGCCGUAAACGAUGUCAACUAGCCGUUGGAAGCCUUGAGCUUUUAGUGGCGCAGCUAACGCAUUAAGUUGACCGCCUGGGGAGUACGGCCGCAAGGUUAAAACUCAAAUGAAUUGACGGGGGCCCGCACAAGCGGUGGAGCAUGUGGUUUAAUUCGAAGCAACGCGAAGAACCUUACCAGGCCUUGACAUCCAAUGAACUUUCUAGAGAUAGAUUGGUGCCUUCGGGAACAUUGAGACAGGUGCUGCAUGGCUGUCGUCAGCUCGUGUCGUGAGAUGUUGGGUUAAGUCCCGUAACGAGCGCAACCCUUGUCCUUAGUUACCAGCACGUCAUGGUGGGCACUCUAAGGAGACUGCCGGUGACAAACCGGAGGAAGGUGGGGAUGACGUCAAGUCAUCAUGGCCCUUACGGCCUGGGCUACACACGUGCUACAAUGGUCGGUACAGAGGGUUGCCAAGCCGCGAGGUGGAGCUAAUCCCACAAAACCGAUCGUAGUCCGGAUCGCAGUCUGCAACUCGACUGCGUGAAGUCGGAAUCGCUAGUAAUCGCGAAUCAGAAUGUCGCGGUGAAUACGUCCCCGGGCCUUGUACACACCGCCCGUC
RNAcentral lists this ribosomal RNA (1377 nucleotides) under uncultured bacterium. Its description in RNAcentral is "16S ribosomal RNA". It matches the Rfam family "Bacterial small subunit ribosomal RNA", at positions 26 to 1398 of the family's 1533-position model. The record is from RNAcentral.